GGGCCCGCACAAGCGGUGGAGUAUGUGGUUUAAUUCGAUGCAACGCGAAGAACCUUACCAGGGUUUGACAUCCUGCGAACCUCUUGGAAACGAGAGGGUGCCUUCGGGAACGCAGUGACAGGUGGUGCAUGGCUGUCGUCAGCUCGUGUCGUGAGAUGUUGGGUUAAGUCCCGCAACGAGCGCAACCCACGUCUUUAGUUGCCAGCAUUUAGUUGGGCACUCUAGAGAGACCGCCGGUGAUAAACCGGAGAAGGUGUGGAUGACGUCAAGUCAUCAUGCCCCUUAUGUCCAGGGCUGCACGCAUGCUACAAUGGCAAGUACAACGAGUCGCAAUACCGCGAGGUGGAGCAAAUCCCAUAAACCGUGGCUC
This 370-nucleotide ribosomal RNA is filed under the name uncultured bacterium. Its description in RNAcentral is "bacterial SSU rRNA". It matches the Rfam family "Bacterial small subunit ribosomal RNA", at positions 917 to 1289 of the family's 1533-position model. The record is from RNAcentral.